UUCUCUCCCCCUCAGCUCUCCCGAAGCUCUCUCACUCUCCCGUGCAUCUCUCUCACUCUCAACCUCUCUCAUAUCUCUUCCCCCUGACUCGCGAGGACCCUAGCAUUCCCAGGAGAGGCCUGUAGCGAACCAGGGAUCCCUGCACCGCGAGACCGACGGCACGGAGCAAAACUCCGGCGAGUUUUCUCCAUUUUUCCCGUCGGGUUUUUGCUUCGGAACGGUCGUGGGUGAGCACACCCACUUUUCCGGUGAUCCUGUGCACCCCGAGAGCUUUCCCGGUCACCUCCGACCGAGUUGUGACGUUUGGAAGGUAAAAUUGCUAGUGGAGAAAUUCUAUAUCCUUAUUCGCACGACUCGCCUGCUAAGGAAUAUUUGUCAUAGUAACGAGGAUUACGACUGGACGUACGAGGCAUUUCCCUACCAGUAGCACUCUAUCACCCACUUGUGUGACAUCUUGUAAUAGUCUUUCCUUUUUGUAAAACUGGUUUUAGUCUGUGUCUGGUUCACUCUAGACAUUUUCUUGAAUGUUGUUAAUUAAUUCUAAACUCUGAUGUUAUUCAUGAAUAUUUUCUUCUAAUCAUUGCUCUUGUAAUCAAUUAAUGGCUUUCGUCACCUUGGGUGUCGGCCAG
Molecule: long non-coding RNA, 629 nt
Organism: Malus domestica (apple)
Lineage: Eukaryota; Viridiplantae; Streptophyta; Magnoliopsida; Rosales; Rosaceae
Source: RefSeq, a predicted model, not a curated record